UACGAAGGGGGCUAGCGUUGCUCGGAAUUAUUGGGCGUAAAGAGCUCGUAGGCGGUUCGUCGCGUCGGCUGUGAAAUCCCGAGGCUCAACCUCGGGUCUGCAGUCGAUACGGGCGGACUGGAGUACUGCAGGGGAGACUGGAAUUCCUGGUGUAGCGGUGAAAUGCGCAGAUAUCAGGAGGAACACCGGUGGCGAAGGCGGGUCUCUGGGCAGUUACUGACGCUGAGGAGCGAAAGCGUGGGGAGCGAACAGG
This 253-nucleotide ribosomal RNA is filed under the name uncultured bacterium. Its description in RNAcentral is "partial 16S ribosomal RNA". It matches the Rfam family "Bacterial small subunit ribosomal RNA", at positions 524 to 776 of the family's 1533-position model. The record is from RNAcentral.